CCUACGGGAGGCAGCAGUAGGGAAUAUUGGGCAAUGGGCGCAAGCCUGACCCAGCAACGCCGCGUGAAGGAAGAAGGCUUUCGGGUUGUAAAACUCUUUUGACAGGGAAGAGUAGAAGACGGUGCCUGUCGAAUAAGCCACGGCGAACUACGUGCCAGCAGCCGCGGUAAGACGAAGGUGGCAAGCGUUGUCCGGAUUUACUGAGUGGAAAGGGCGGGUAGCCGGGUUGAUAAGUCAGAUGUGAAAUCCUGCGGCUUAACCGCAGAACUGCAUUCGAAACUGGUGAUCUUGAGUACUGGAGAGGCAGACGGAAUUCCUAGUGUAGCGGUGGAAUGCGUAGAUAUUUGGAGGAACACCAGUGGCGAAGGCGGUCUGCUGGACAGCAACUGACGGUGAGGCGCGAAAGCGUGGGGAGCAAACAGGAUUAGAUACCCGGGUAGUC
This 442-nucleotide ribosomal RNA is filed under the name uncultured bacterium. Its description in RNAcentral is "partial 16S ribosomal RNA". It matches the Rfam family "Bacterial small subunit ribosomal RNA", at positions 338 to 795 of the family's 1533-position model. The record is from RNAcentral.